CACUAAACUACAACCGAGGAACCACGUA
RNAcentral lists this small RNA (28 nucleotides) under Bombyx mori (domestic silkworm). Its description in RNAcentral is "ovarian small RNA-13042". The record is from RNAcentral. Lineage: Eukaryota; Metazoa; Arthropoda; Insecta; Lepidoptera; Bombycidae.